GAUGAACGCUGGCGGCGUGCCUAAUACAUGCAAGUCGAACGGACGGACGAGAAGCUUGCGUCUCUGAUGUUAGCGGCGGACGGGUGAGUAACACGUGGAUAACCUACCUAUAAGACUGGGAUAACUUCGGGAAACCGUAGCUAAUACCGGAUAAUAUUUUGAACCGCAUGGUUCAAAAGUGAAAGACGGUCUUGCUGUCACUUAUAGAUGGAUCCGCGCUGCAUUAGCUAGUUGGUAAGGUAACGGCUUACCAAGGCAACGAUGCGUAGCCGACCUGAGAGGGUGGUCGGCCACACUGGAACUGAGACACGGUCCAGACUCCUACGGGAGGCAGCAGUAGGGAAUCUUCCGCAAUGGGCGAAAGCCUGACGGAGCAACGCCGCGUGAGUGAUGAAGGUCUUCGGAUCGUAAAGCUCUGUUAUUGGGGAAGAACAUAUGUGGAAGUAACUGUGCACAUCUUGACGGUACCUAAUCAGAAAGCCCCGGCUAACUACGUG
This 497-nucleotide ribosomal RNA is filed under the name uncultured bacterium. RNAcentral's name for it is "partial 16S ribosomal RNA". It matches the Rfam family "Bacterial small subunit ribosomal RNA", at positions 28 to 507 of the family's 1533-position model. The record is from RNAcentral.